ACAAGUACCGUGAGGGAAAGUUGCAAAGCACUUUGAAGAGAGAGUUAAAGAGGACGUGAAACCGAUAAGGUGGAAACGGAUAGAGCCAACGUAUCUGGCUUGCAUUCAGCUGUUAUAUGGGUUCGGACUGGCCUGGCGAUCCUGCUUCUGGUUGCCUCGUAGGUCGUAAGUAGCUCAAAUGGUAGUGCAUUUGCAAGUGGAGUGCGCUGAGGUGUGUGGAGCAGCGAUUCGAUCUUUGUCUUGAGGACACUUUAUGUGAACCCCGGGCGUUGGGAAAAUUGUUUGCUCUGCAUUACCGCCAAAGGAGAGGCCUCUGGUGAAUUGGAGUUUAAUCGCGUUGACUGCUUGUAACGGCCGCAUGCGACGCGUGCUCGUUGUCUAUGUGAUUGGAUUUCAUUUCCCUUCUCCGGUGGAUCUCGGUGUAAAAGUUGGUCAUCUAUCCGACCCGUCUUGAAACACGGACCAAGGAGUUUAGCGUAUGCGCGAGUCAUUGAGUAUUGAAACUCAAAGGCGUAAUGAAAGUGAAUUGAAAAUGAUAUGCGAUCCUGUAUGCCUCGGCGUGCGGGAGCAGCAUAGCCCCGUCCCGAUCGCUUGCGAUGGGGCGGAGGUAGAGCGUAUUCGCUGAGACCCGAAAGAUGGUGAACUAUUCCUGAGCAGGAUGAAGCCAGAGGAAACUCUGGUGGAAGUCCGAAGCGGUUCUGACGUGCAAAUCGAUCGUCUGACUUGGGUAUAGGGGCGAAAGACUAAUCGAACCAUCUAGUAGCUGGUUCCUUCCGAA
RNAcentral lists this ribosomal RNA (778 nucleotides) under Coslenchus franklinae. RNAcentral describes it as "partial large subunit ribosomal RNA". It matches the Rfam family "Eukaryotic large subunit ribosomal RNA", at positions 344 to 965 of the family's 3401-position model. The record is from RNAcentral. Lineage: Eukaryota; Metazoa; Nematoda; Chromadorea; Rhabditida; Tylenchidae.